RNAcentral lists this ribosomal RNA (253 nucleotides) under uncultured bacterium. Its description in RNAcentral is "partial 16S ribosomal RNA". It matches the Rfam family "Bacterial small subunit ribosomal RNA", at positions 524 to 776 of the family's 1533-position model. The record is from RNAcentral.
UACGAGGGGGGCUAGCGUUGCUCGGAAUUACUGGGCGUAAAGCGCACGUAGGCGGCUUUCUAAGUCGGGGGUGAAAUCCUGGAGCUCAACUCCAGAACUGCCUUCGAUACUGGAGAGCUCGAGUCCGGGAGAGGUGAGUGGAACUGCGAGUGUAGAGGUGAAAUUCGUAGAUAUUCGGAAGAACACCAGUGGCGAAGGCGACUCGCUGGACAAGUAUUGACGCUGAGGUGCGAAAGCGUGGGGAGCAAACAGG